GAUGAACGCUGGCGGCGUGCCUAAUACAUGCAAGUCGAGCGAACUGAUUAGAAGCUUGCUUCUAUGACGUUAGCGGCGGACGGGUGAGUAACACGUGGGCAACCUGCCUGUAAGACUGGGAUAACUUCGGGAAACCGAAGCUAAUACCGGAUAGGAUCUUCUCCUUCAUGGGAGAUGAUUGAAAGAUGGUUUCGGCUAUCACUUACAGAUGGGCCCGCGGUGCAUUAGCUAGUUGGUGAGGUAACGGCUCACCAAGGCAACGAUGCAUAGCCGACCUGAGAGGGUGAUCGGCCACACUGGGACUGAGACACGGCCCAGACUCCUACGGGAGGCAGCAGUAGGGAAUCUUCCGCAAUGGACGAAAGUCUGACGGAGCAACGCCGCGUGAGUGAUGAAGGCUUUCGGGUCGUAAAACUCUGUUGUUAGGGAAGAACAAGUACAAGAGUAACUGCUUGUACCUUGACGGUACCUAACCAGAAAGCCACGGCUAACUACGUGCCAGCCGCCGCGGUAA
This 514-nucleotide ribosomal RNA is filed under the name uncultured bacterium. RNAcentral describes it as "partial 16S ribosomal RNA". It matches the Rfam family "Bacterial small subunit ribosomal RNA", at positions 28 to 523 of the family's 1533-position model. The record is from RNAcentral.